Molecule: ribosomal RNA, 254 nt
Filed under: uncultured bacterium
Lineage: Bacteria
Description: partial 16S ribosomal RNA
Rfam family: Bacterial small subunit ribosomal RNA
Source: RNAcentral
UACGUAGGGUGCAAGCGUUAAUCGGAAUCACUGGGCUUAAAGCGCGUGUAGGCGGGCCGGCACGUCGGGCGCUGAAAUCCCCCGGCUCAACCGGGGAACGGGCACCGAUACGAGCGGCCUGGAGGGGAGUAGGGGGACCUGGAACUUCCGGUGGAGCGGUGAAAUGCGUUGAGAUCGGAAGGAACGCCCGUGGCGAAAGCGAGGUCCUGGGCUCCUGCUGACGCUGAGACGCGAAAGCCAGGGGAGCGAACGGG